UCUUGCGCAAUGGGCGAAAGCCUGACGCAGCGACGCCGCGUGGGUGAUGAAGGCCUUCGGGUCGUAAAGCCAUGUCGGGAGGGACGAAACCUCGGUGACCUAAUACGUCAUCGACCUGACGGUACCUCCUAAGGAAGCACCGGCUAACUCCGUGCCAGCAGCCGCGGUAAUACGGAGGGUGCAAGCGUUGUUCGGAAUUACUGGGCGUAAAGCGCGUGUAGGCGGUCGCGUAAGUCUGAUGUGAAAGCCCGGGGCUCACCCCCGGAAGUGCAUUGGAAACUGCGCGACUAGAGUGCCGGAGAGGAGGGUGGAGUUCCUGGUGUAGCGGUGAAAUGCGUAGAUAUCAGGAGGAACACCGGUGGCGAAGGCGGCCCUCUGGACGGAUACUGACGCGAGACGCGAAA
RNAcentral lists this ribosomal RNA (404 nucleotides) under uncultured bacterium. RNAcentral's name for it is "bacterial SSU rRNA". It matches the Rfam family "Bacterial small subunit ribosomal RNA", at positions 362 to 758 of the family's 1533-position model. The record is from RNAcentral.